This 336-nucleotide unclassified non-coding RNA is filed under the name soil metagenome. RNAcentral describes it as "partial contains 5.8S ribosomal RNA, internal transcribed spacer 2, and large subunit ribosomal RNA". The stretch from base 1 to 120 matches the Rfam family "5.8S ribosomal RNA", at positions 35 to 154 of the family's 154-position model. The record is from RNAcentral.
GAUGAAGAACGUAGCGAAAUGCGAUAAGUAAUGUGAAUUGCAGAAUUCAGUGAAUCAUCGAAUCUUUGAACGCACAUUGCGCCCGCCAGUAUUCUGGCGGGCAUGCCUGUUCGAGCGUCAUUUCAACCAUCAAGCCCCCGGCUUGUGUUGGGGACCUGCGGCUGCCGCAGGCCCUGAAAAGCAGUGGCGGGCUCGCUGUCACACCGAGCGUAGUAGCAUACAUCUCGCUCAGGGCGUGCGGCGGGCUCCAGCCGUUAAAGCACCCACCUUUCGCAAGGUUGACCUCGGAUCAGGUAGGAAUACCCGCUGAACUUAAGCAUAUCAAUAAGCGGAGGA